UACGUAGGGUGCAGGCGUUAAUCGGAAUUACUGGGCGUAAAGCGUGCGCAGGCGGUUUCUUAAGUCAGAUGUGAAAGCCCCGGGCUUAACCUGGGAAUGGCGAUGGAGACUGCAAGGCUAGAGUUUGGCAGAGGGGGGUAGAAUUCCACGUGUAGCAGUGAAAUGCGUAGAGAUGUGGAGGAACACCGAUGGCGAAGGCAGCCCCCUGGGUCAAAACUGACGCUCAUGCACGAAAGCGUGGGGAGCAAACAGG
RNAcentral lists this ribosomal RNA (253 nucleotides) under uncultured bacterium. Its description in RNAcentral is "partial 16S ribosomal RNA". It matches the Rfam family "Bacterial small subunit ribosomal RNA", at positions 524 to 776 of the family's 1533-position model. The record is from RNAcentral.